Molecule: ribosomal RNA, 497 nt
Filed under: uncultured bacterium
Lineage: Bacteria
Description: partial 16S ribosomal RNA
Rfam family: Bacterial small subunit ribosomal RNA
Source: RNAcentral
GAUGAACGCUGGCGGCGUGCCUAAUACAUGCAAGUCGAGCGAACAGACGAGGAGCUUGCUCCUCUGACGUUAGCGGCGGACGGGUGAGUAACACGUGGAUAACCUACCUAUAAGACUGGGAUAAUUUCGGGAAACCGGAGCUAAUACCGGAUAAUAUAUUGAACCGCAUGGUUCAAUAGUGAAAGACGGUUUUGCUGUCACUUAUAGAUGGAUCCGCGCCGCAUUAGCUAGUUGGUAAGGUAACGGCUUACCAAGGCAACGAUGCGUAGCCGACCUGAGAGGGUGAUCGGCCACACUGGAACUGAGACACGGUCCAGACACCUACGGGAGGCAGCAGUAGGGAAUCUUCCGCAAUGGGCGAAAGCCUGACGGAGCAACGCCGCGUGAGUGAUGAAGGUCUUCGGAUCGUAAAACUCUGUUAGUAGGGAAGAACAAAUGUGUAAGUAACUAUGCACGUCUUGACGGUACCUAAUCAGAAAGCCACGGCUAACUACGUG